GGCGAACGGGUGAGGAACACGUGAGAAACCUGCCUUUCAUUCUGGGAUAACACCGGGAAACCGGUGCUAAUACCGGAUACUCCAUCUUGGCGGCAUCGCCGAGCUGGGAAAAAAUUUUGAUGAAAGAUGGUCUCGCGGCCUAUCAGCUAGUUGGUGAGGUAAAGGCUCACCAAGGCGACGACGGGUAGCCGGCCUGAGAGGGCGACCGGCCACACUGGGACUGAGACACGGCCCAGACUCCUACGGGAGGCAGCAGUAGGGAAUAUUGGGCAAUGGGCGAAAGCCUGACCCACCGAACCCCGCUUUGAGGGAUGAAGGUCUCCGCGU
RNAcentral lists this ribosomal RNA (327 nucleotides) under Microbacterium barkeri. RNAcentral describes it as "bacterial SSU rRNA". It matches the Rfam family "Bacterial small subunit ribosomal RNA", at positions 97 to 423 of the family's 1533-position model. The record is from RNAcentral. Lineage: Bacteria; Bacillati; Actinomycetota; Actinomycetes; Micrococcales; Microbacteriaceae.